AUUUGAUCCAGUGAUGGUGGGAUCACUUUGCUGUGUCUAUCACUUGCUGGCUAUGCUGUUUGGCGGCUUCACCAGGGAAAAAAGCCUUGAAAGUGCCGUUAAUUUUUUGCAUGGCAAGCUGCUGAAUACGAACCAGUCUCACACCAUUGCCAUCACCUUGCCCUUGUGAAGGCACAUAUGGAUAAAGUUUUCAAAGCUGAUAGAAAAUUGAAAGCAGUCGCAUCCUGUGACGAUGGGUGGAGUUAGUGGAACCGAAAAAGAUGUCUCCCUCACAGCAUUUGUGACAAAAGAAUUGCAUCGUUCCUUGGCGGCCUUUCAACAGAAGAAUAUUCAGACAUUUCCCGAGUGUUUCCACUUGGAAGAAAGAUUCACAUCAAAUUGACUGGUCAAGGAAAUGGGACACUGACUGUGAGUACUUUGAAUGUUCGAGUUAUUCCUAAAAUGAAAGUUAUGACCUU
Stegostoma tigrinum is the source of this 458-nucleotide long non-coding RNA. RefSeq lists it as uncharacterized. Lineage: Eukaryota; Metazoa; Chordata; Chondrichthyes; Orectolobiformes; Stegostomatidae. The record is from RefSeq and is a predicted model, not a curated record. The transcript is spliced from 4 exons.